This 625-nucleotide ribosomal RNA is filed under the name uncultured bacterium. RNAcentral describes it as "bacterial SSU rRNA". The stretch from base 1 to 541 matches the Rfam family "Bacterial small subunit ribosomal RNA", at positions 338 to 873 of the family's 1533-position model. The record is from RNAcentral.
CCUACGGGAGGCAGCAGUGGGGAAUUUUGGACAAUGGGCGAAAGCCUGAUCCAGCAAUGCCGCGUGAGUGAAGAAGGCCUUCGGGUUGUAAAGCUCUUUUGUCAGGGAAGAAACGGUGAGAGCUAAUAUCUCUUGCUAAUGACGGUACCUGAAGAAUAAGCACCGGCUAACUACGUGCCAGCAGCCGCGGUAAUACGUAGGGUGCAAGCGUUAAUCGGAAUUACUGGGCGUAAAGCGUGCGCAGGCGGUUUUGUAAGUCUGAUGUGAAAUCCCCGGGCUCAACCUGGGAAUUGCAUUGGAGACUGCAAGGCUAGAAUCUGGCAGAGGGGGGUAGAAUUCCACGUGUAGCAGUGAAAUGCGUAGAUAUGUGGAGGAACACCGAUGGCGAAGGCAGCCCCCUGGGUCAAGAUUGACGCUCAUGCACGAAAGCGUGGGGAGCAAACAGGAUUAGAUACCCUGGUAGUCCACGCCCUAAACGAUGUCUACUAGUUGUCGGGUCUUAAUUGACUUGGUAACGCAGCUAACGCGUGAAGUGACCGCCUGGGGGUAGUUACGGUUCGUCGAGAGUUAAACGUUACGAAGAGUAGAGGCGNGAGAGNGCGACGGACGACGACGAGGGAGGAGG